UACAGAGGUCUCAAGCGUUGUUCGGAUUCAUUGGGCGUAAAGGGUGCGUAGGUGGCGGGGUAAGUCAGGUGUGAAAUUUCGGAGCUUAACUCCGAAACUGCAUUUGAUACUGCCUUGCUUGAGGACUGGAGAGGAGACUGGAAUUCACGGUGUAGCAGUGAAAUGCGUAGAGAUCGUGAGGAAGACCAGUGGCGAAGGCGGGUCUCUGGACAGCUCCUGACACUGAGGCACGAAGGCCAGGGGAGCAAACGGG
RNAcentral lists this ribosomal RNA (253 nucleotides) under uncultured bacterium. RNAcentral's name for it is "partial 16S ribosomal RNA". It matches the Rfam family "Bacterial small subunit ribosomal RNA", at positions 524 to 776 of the family's 1533-position model. The record is from RNAcentral.